This 65-nucleotide transfer RNA is filed under the name Dendostrea sandvichensis. RNAcentral describes it as "tRNA-Glu". The record is from RNAcentral. Lineage: Eukaryota; Metazoa; Mollusca; Bivalvia; Ostreida; Ostreidae.
UCUAGGAUAGUGUAUAAAAGCACAUAAAAUUUUCGUUUUUAUAGAGGGAUUAUUCCUUCCUAGAU